This is a non-coding RNA of Mus caroli (Ryukyu mouse), 1955 nucleotides long. Lineage: Eukaryota; Metazoa; Chordata; Mammalia; Rodentia; Muridae. The record is from RefSeq and is a predicted model, not a curated record.
GAACUGGUUUGGGCACUAGCGAGCCUGAUAUCCCCAGGAUAAUCUAGAAAGGCUGGAAUUGUGGACAGGAUUUCUCUGCCACUUUCUUCUGGGAAAUUACAGUGUUUGCUCUUCUGGUCGACUGAUUGGCUGGGGUUCAAUCAUAUGAUUGGCAGUAAUCUCCUGUACUUAAAGCUGACAGGGUUCACUGUACCUAUAAAUACAGUCUUGCAGCAUCUUGCCGGUGUUUGACUGAGCAACUGGGCACCCGUACAAUAUUGAUGCCUCCUGGGUCUGACCACCACAGGGAGCCAGAUGGCUUUGUAUCCCACUGUCCACUCAAAACAUCUUCUGGGCUUCUUUGCCCGGGCACCUCGGUGCGCUCGGUCAACGGCCUCUGCGAGCGCUCACCCGAGUGCCCCGGAGCCGGCGGGCGGCGACCCUCUCUCCGGGGACUCUCCAGCAGGCCCAGGGGAUAAAAGUGGCUCUCAACCUAGCACAUGUGCAUCGGAGCAAUUUAAGGAGUUAAUAUGAAGCACAGAAGCAGAUAGUGCCAAAUAGCAAGCCUGUUGUUUCACAUUUGGUGAGUGGGGCGGCAUUUCCUUCUCCCACUGCUGCUGAGAUGGCAGAAAUUAGUCGAAUUCAGUAUGAAAUGGAAUACACCGAAGGUAUUAGUCAGCGCAUGAGGGUCCCGGAAAAACUAAAAGUAGCCCCACCAAAUGCUGACCUGGAGCAAGAGUUCCAAGAUGGAGUUCCAAAUGCCAGUGUGAUAAUGCAAGUCCCAGAGAGGAUCGUGGUUAUAGGAAAUAAUGAAGACAUUUCAUUUUCAAGACCAGCAGAUCUUGACCUUAUCCAGUCCACUCCCUUUAAACCUCUGGCACUGAAAACACCACCACGUGUGCUCACACUGAGUGAGAGACCACUAGAUUUCCUGGAUUUAGAAAGACCAUCUCCAACUCCUCAAAGCGAAGAGAUCCGAGCAGUUGGCAGGCUAAAAAGAGAGCGUUCUAUGAGUGAAAAUGCUGUUUGCCAAAAUGGACAGUUGGUCAGAAACGAUUCCAUGUAUGGCAUUUCAAACCUAGAUGCAGCCAUUGAAGGAGCAUCAGAUGACAUGACUGUGGUAGAUGCAGCUUCAUUAAGAUGUCAGAUAAUCAAGUUAAAUAGACGUCUACAACUUCUGGAAGAGGAGAAUAAAGAGCGUGCUAAAAGAGAAAUGGUCAUGUAUUCAAUCACUGUAGCAUUCUGGCUGCUUAAUAGCUGGCUCUGGUUUCGACGCUAGAGGUAACCUCAGCAGUCACAUAUAUUGUCUCAACACCUGGAAAUAUAAAGGAUUUGCAAACUUCAUUGUUUCUGUCUUUGCAUCAUCGUAUGCCGGCUUUCUAGUCCAAGCCCUGAAAAUAUUUCUCCAGAAUGCAGGGAAGGACCUGUAUCUGUAGAGUGAAGGCCUGUUGUGUUGCUGAUGGGCAUUCAGCCAGUUCUGCAGUGGCACCUAUACACUCUCCUUUUGCAUGUCUUGUAAAUAGGCUCUAGGUUUGUUUGUUUUUAAAGAAAAUAAUUUUUGUGGCCUCAUCAGUCUGUACAGCUAAUUCUCUAAACAGAAAUGGCAGACAUAAAGAGUGAGUUUAGAAAACUGUCUGUGAAAGAAAAGUGUUUUGUCCUGUUUUUCAGAUGAUUAAGCAGUUUCUUUGAUAGAUGCUUUUUGUAUCUACAUCUCAGCAGUGAUGCUUUUUAAGUCACAGUGUUGUACAGGACUCAAGUCAAACCACCUAACUCCUCUUCAUCAGCUGUGCAGGCGGAGGGAGUUUAAAAACUCCUAACAGUUCAGCAGUUUAUCUGUGUGCAAUAUGUUGUUUUGACUUUCAUCUUAGUUUUCUAUCAAGUAUGUUUUUACCAAGUCCAUGUGUGAAUGAUUUAAAAACCUAAAAAAUAAGGUAUAAAUGUAGUGUAUUUAAUAAACUGUCAACCAAAAAAAAAAA